GACGAACGCUGGCGGCGUGCUUAACACAUGCAAGUCGAACGAAGCUUGAUUACGGAUUCUUCGGAUGAAGUAUGAUAUGACUGAGUGGCGGACGGGUGAGUAACGCGUGAGUAACCUGCCCUUCAGAGGGGGAUAGCGUUUGGAAACGAACGGUAAUACCGCAUAAUGUAUUUUGACCGCAUGAUCGAAAUACCAAAGAUUUAUCGCUGAAGGAUGGACUCGCGUCUGAUUAGGUAGUUGGUGGGGUAACGGCCUACCAAGCCGACGAUCAGUAGCCGGACUGAGAGGUUGAUCGGCCACAUUGGGACUGAGACACGGCCCAGACUCCUACGGGAGGCAGCAGUGGGGAAUAUUGCACAAUGGGCGCAAGCCUGAUGCAGCAACGCCGCGUGAAGGAAGACGGUUUUCGGAUUGUAAACUUCUGUUCUUAGUGAAGAAUAAUGACGGUAGCUAAGGAGCAAGCCACGACUAACUACGUG
RNAcentral lists this ribosomal RNA (479 nucleotides) under uncultured bacterium. RNAcentral's name for it is "partial 16S ribosomal RNA". It matches the Rfam family "Bacterial small subunit ribosomal RNA", at positions 28 to 507 of the family's 1533-position model. The record is from RNAcentral.